GAUCAUGGCUCAGGACGAACGCUGGCGGCGUGCUUAACACAUGCAAGUUGAACGGUAUGACAUGGAAGCUUGCUGAAGUGUCAUAUAGUAGCGGACGGGUGAGUAAUGCAUGAGAAGCUGCCAUUGGGAGGGGGACAACAGUUGGAAACGGCUGCUAAUACCCCGUAUGCCGGAGGGUGAAAGGGAGUAAUCCGCCCGAUGAGGUGCUCAUGUCCUAUCAGCUGGUUGGUGGGUAACGGCCUACCAAGGCGACGACGGGUAGCCGGCCUGAGAGGGUGAACGGCCACACUGGAACUGAGAUACGGUCCAGACUCCUACGGGAGGCAGCAGUGGGGAAUAUUGGGCAAUGGAACCGCAAGUCUGACCCAGCAACGCCGCGUGAAGGAAGAAGGCUUUCGGGUUGUAAACUUCUUUUAACAGGGAAGAGAAGAAGACGGUACCUGUUGAAUAAGCCACGGCUAACUACGUGCCAGCCGCUGC
Molecule: ribosomal RNA, 480 nt
Filed under: uncultured bacterium
Lineage: Bacteria
Description: bacterial SSU rRNA
Rfam family: Bacterial small subunit ribosomal RNA
Source: RNAcentral